This 200-nucleotide ribosomal RNA is filed under the name uncultured bacterium. RNAcentral describes it as "partial 16S ribosomal RNA". It matches the Rfam family "Bacterial small subunit ribosomal RNA", at positions 8 to 201 of the family's 1533-position model. The record is from RNAcentral.
AGAGUUUGAUCCUGGCUCAGGACGAACGCUGGCGGCGUGCCUAAUACAUGCAAGUCGAGCGGAGUUGAUGAGGUGCUUGCACUUCUGAGACUUAGCGGCGGACGGGUGAGUAACACGUAGGCAACCUGCCUCAAGUCUGGGAUAACUACCGGAAACGGUAGCUAAUACCGGAUAAUUUGUUUUGCUGCAUGGCGAGACAA